Molecule: long non-coding RNA, 1347 nt
Filed under: Monodelphis domestica (gray short-tailed opossum)
Lineage: Eukaryota; Metazoa; Chordata; Mammalia; Didelphimorphia; Didelphidae
Description: lncRNA (ENSMODG00000031105.2)
Source: RNAcentral
GGAGAAGCAUAAGAUGGAAAGCUAGAUUUAAGAAACUGCCAUUGGCACAUGCCAAAGAAUUUUGGAGAAAGUAUUCUAGAAGUCAGGGGGUAGAGAAGGAAGGGUUAAAUGAUAGAUAACUGACACUUGGUCUUGGUCUUGGACUGGGACUUGGUCCUUGGUCUUAGUCUUGAACUUUUACUUUGAUCCUGGUCUUGCCAAAACAGAAGGAGGAAGAGCUGCUUCUAGGAGUGUUUCCGAUUUCAAGUCUUUGGAGAACAAAGGACAACCCUUCAAUCCUUCCUUGUGCUUCCUUAUCAGCUGGAGGGCAGUUUGGAGCAGAUUUGGUUAUCCCUGCUGUCUUCCUUCUCUUCUCCAGAGUAAACAGCAAUAGUGCCUUAAAAGGUCUGGGUCACCUUUUCUGACACUAAAAUGACAUCUCUUCACCCAGGGUGCACACGGACAGAAUCAGACCAGAAUCUGAGUUGGAAGAGAAUUUAGAAGAGCAAUCUGUCUGAAAAGUGCCAGCUGAUAGGACGCUGGAGACCACUACUUCUUAUGAGAAGCCUUUCCUGACCCUCUGAAAUGAAUAGGGAUAUUGCUAUGGAGUUGCUAUGGGAAAACUAUAUCCACCUUUCUUUUCUCUUGGAGUUUCUGUAUGAUAUGCCUAGACCUGGCAUUUUUUCCAGUGGCACAAGAUCAGCAUUCUUGAACAGACCCAUCAUAUGCCACUACAGUGUAUCAUUGAUCAUAUCACUCUUCUGCUCUAAAUCCUUUAAUGACUUUGAUGGAUCCCAUUGACUACUGGUGAAGUCCAAACUCCUUAGCCUCACAUGUCCUAAAUACUGGGGCACAAAUAAGAAAAAGGCAAUCCUUGGUCUCAAAGGGCUGAUAAUCUAAUGUGAGAAUACAACACAAAAGGAAACUCAAUUCAUGAUUUCUCCUCAUUUUCCACAGAGAAUGAUUUAAAUAAGAAUACUUUAGGGAUAGAUUUCUUUACAGGUCCUUAGAAACAAUUCACAAAUGAGAAUGCCAUAAUGGAAAGAAUUACUUGGAAAUGGAAUCAGAAGACCUGAGGCUAAGCCCCAAAUCUCCUAUUUACUUGUAAUGUGACCUUGGACAAUUUCUUCAAUCUCUCAGAGCCUCAGGCUCUUCAUCUAAAAAAAGGAAAUGAUAUUUGCUCUAUGGUCAAGGUUGUUGUAAGGACUGCAUGUAAGUGUAUAAGAAGUGUUUCAUGCCUGUAAUGUGCUACACAAAAAUAAGAGAAUGUUAGCCUUUUUGUAACACAUAAAAUGUAAUUGUUAGGUCUAUGACUGUUAUGAAACAAAGAAUAAUAAAGGAAUGAAUGAAAUAAAAUAGAGUAGUAGA